This is a long non-coding RNA of Homo sapiens (human), 904 nucleotides long. Ensembl annotates it as long intergenic non-protein coding RNA 989. NCBI's taxonomy places the organism in Eukaryota, Metazoa, Chordata, Mammalia, Primates, Hominidae. The record is from Ensembl.
GGUGGCACUUUUAAGAGAGCAUCAGCUGCGGUAGUAGAAGGGGGAUACAGGCUUGCCCUAAGUUGGCCAGGGUAAAUAUUCAGUCGUCUCAGGUAAUAGGUGAGGCCAUAGAGCUCCCACAAGUUUAUAUCUUUUGUCUCUGGUUACCAGGAAGGGUAGAGAAAACCAUCAGGUGGGGGCAGGGUUAGGCAGGUCUCAGCCUAGACUCUCCUUGGGCUUGCAGUGGCCACUUUGAGGGAUAUGGGGUGUGUCUCAGGCCAAUGGAGUUAUGUUCCAUGGGAGAUUAUGGCUGCCUCUGCUGCUUCCUACAGGUUGCCAGGUUCUCCAGGGCCGAUGUAUGUUUGGAGAUGGAUUUCCCCCUCUCACACUUCAGGCACUCAGUUUUUUGGCAGUCUCAUGGAGUUUUCAGUGGCAAGCCGCUUAUUUCAAAUGGGAUUUGGAAAGGAUUCCGUGAUGGUUAAUAUUGAGUGUCAACUUGAUUGGAUUGAAGGAUGCAAAGUAUUGUUCCUGGGUGUGUCUGUGAGGGUGUCACCAAAGGAGAUGAACAUUUGAAUCAGUGAGCUGGGAGACACAAACCCAUACUCAAUCUUGGGGGACACCAUCUAAUCAGCUGCCAGUGCAACUAGGAUAAAAUCAGGCAGAGAAAUUUGGAAAGACUAGACUGGCUGAGUCUUCUGGCCUUCAUCUUUCUCCCAUGCUAGAUGCUUCCUGACCUCGAAUAUCAGACUCCAAGUUCUUUAGCUUUUGGACUCUUGGACCUUUGGCCACAGACGGAAGGCUGCACUUUUGAAGUUUUGGGACUUGGACUGGCUUCCUUGCUCCUCAGCUUACAGAUGGCCUAUUGUGGGACUUCACCUUGUGAUUGUGUAAGUCAAUACUCCUUAAUAAACUCUGCUUUAUAUAU